GACGAACGCUGGCGGCGUGCCUAAUACAUGCAAGUAGAACGCUGAAGAGAGGAGCUUGCUCUUCUUGGAUGAGUUGCGAACGGGUGAGUAACGCGUAGGUAACCUGCCUUGUAGCGGGGGAUAACUAUUGGAAACGAUAGCUAAUACCGCAUAACAAUGGAUGACACAUGUCAUUUAUUUGAAAGGGGCAAUUGCUCCACUACAAGAUGGACCUGCGUUGUAUUAGCUAGUAGGUGAGGUAAUGGCUCACCUAGGCGACGAUACAUAGCCGACCUGAGGGGGUGAUCGGCCAAACUGGGACUGGGACACGGCCCAGAAUCCUACGGGAGGCAGCAGGAGGGGAUCUUCGGCAAUGGGGGCAAACCUGACCGAGCAACGCCGCGGGAGUGAAGAAGGUUUUCGGAUCGUAAAGCUCGGUUGUAAGUCAAGAAAGGGUGUGAGAGUGGAAAGUUCACACUGUGACGGUAGCUUACCAGAAAGGGACGGCUAACUACGUG
This 497-nucleotide ribosomal RNA is filed under the name uncultured bacterium. Its description in RNAcentral is "partial 16S ribosomal RNA". It matches the Rfam family "Bacterial small subunit ribosomal RNA", at positions 28 to 507 of the family's 1533-position model. The record is from RNAcentral.